GAUGAACGCUAGCGGCAGGCCUAACACAUGCAAGUCGAGGGGUAACAGAGAGAGCUUGCUCUUUGCUGACGACCGGCGCACGGGUGCGUAACGCGUAUACAAUCUACCUUUUGCUGGGGGAUAGCCUUUAGAAAUGAAGAUUAACACCCCAUAGUAUGUAGAGUUGGCAUCAACUUUAUAUUAAAGGUUACGGCAAAAGAUGAGUAUGCGUCCUAUUAGCUAGAUGGUGUGGUAACGGCACACCAUGGCAACGAUAGGUAGGGGCCCUGAGAGGGGGAUCCCCCACACUGGUACUGAGACACGGACCAG
This 309-nucleotide ribosomal RNA is filed under the name uncultured bacterium. RNAcentral describes it as "bacterial SSU rRNA". It matches the Rfam family "Bacterial small subunit ribosomal RNA", at positions 28 to 334 of the family's 1533-position model. The record is from RNAcentral.